CCAAGAAGCUCAGUGGUUUAGACCGCAGUGCCACCAGUGUCCUAGUAUUAGAAGCGAUGGUUAAUAAAGGCUGUGCACUGCUGUGCUCCCUCCCUGCUGAAAGUGAUGGGCACAGUCACUGAAGGCAAAUGUAGUGCACAAUAAUAGGAUGGGGCGUAGCUGGCCAGCUCCCAUCAAUCACAAGAGACAGGAAAGUAGAAAUUGCACAUGAUACCUGGGACUGAAAUGGGUUCAUCUCUUUUCUUCAAAGGGAGCUGUGUGUUUACUCUGCUUUCAGUGCCAGGACUCUAUAGCAUCUGGGGAGUGAUGACAGUGCCUCUGAGUGUAUACAGCUUGUCUUUCUUUCCACCUCUAACAAACCACAGCCAGUUCUCAAACAGUCAAGAUUAAGAAGCAGAGACUGGAGGCCUGAUGAAUUAUUUCCUCAAUGCUUUCAGAAGAUAAAAUAAUAAUAAUAAUAAUAAUAAUAAU
This 471-nucleotide long non-coding RNA is filed under the name Podarcis lilfordi (Lilford's wall lizard). The record is from RNAcentral. Lineage: Eukaryota; Metazoa; Chordata; Lepidosauria; Squamata; Lacertidae.